GUCUGGAUGAAAUGUCUAAUGUGUUAAUGUCAUUCAUCCAACACAAUUAUUAAAACUGGAACAAAAAAAAAUGACUAAAUUGGAGCCAAAAUCAUUGUUGAGUACAUUGCCAUCAAAUUUAUCAAUGAUAAACAUGCUAAUAUUGUUGAUUAUGGUGGUGUAAAAGUGAUAAUUGUUUCGUGUUGUGUGUAAUCAUUGAACCUGUAGUGCUGAUCAAAUAAAAUCAUCAUGAAUCACUACAUGGCAUUGCUGAUCAGAGAGAAUCAUCAUGAACGUUGAAGCUUUUUGAUGACCAGCGUGGGAAGAUGAUAAACGUCCAUUAAAAAGGCUUGAUAUGAGUUGACCAGUUUAUGUGGGUUUAUGGCAAUGGAUAGGUCUAGACUACAUUCAACAAUAAUGCGGACAUUUGGACAAUAAGUAAGUAAUAACAAUAAUCAUAGAAAAACA
Long non-coding RNA from Aphidius gifuensis, 447 nucleotides. RefSeq lists it as uncharacterized. The transcript is spliced from 3 exons. Lineage: Eukaryota; Metazoa; Arthropoda; Insecta; Hymenoptera; Braconidae. The record is from RefSeq and is a predicted model, not a curated record.